UCUCAGGUGCCAAUAAAGCUCAAAUCCCCAGAAAUAUGUGACCUAUUCGGGGCUCUCGGGGCACCGCCGUAGGCCCAAUUAUCGAUGGACGCUCCCCCCCCCGAGGCUGUUUUUGGCACCCGCUGGCCCUCGCCCCGGGCACAGUACACGGGGCUUGGGGUCAGGCGCGGCAGUUGUGGCUGAAGGGUGGUAGAGCGGCGAGGUUGCGGCACCGCGGUUCAAAGAUGAUUUACAGUUUGGUAAAUUAUUUUUUAAAUGUGAUUAUCACAGCCUCGCGCUAAACGAAACAGCCUUUUGAAAAAGAAAGAUAAUUGAAUAAGUGAAUAAAGUGUAUGUAAAAAUAACGAAAAAAAAAACGAACCGGCAACUUCAAUGACAUCCUAAGUGGGCCUAAAAAACACGAAAUAAAUAAUUAAGAAAAGAAAAGAAAA
Non-coding RNA from Penaeus vannamei (Pacific white shrimp), 431 nucleotides. Lineage: Eukaryota; Metazoa; Arthropoda; Malacostraca; Decapoda; Penaeidae. The record is from RefSeq and is a predicted model, not a curated record.